This 295-nucleotide long non-coding RNA is filed under the name Capsella rubella. Its description in RNAcentral is "long non-coding RNA (CRUB_LNC004563)". Lineage: Eukaryota; Viridiplantae; Streptophyta; Magnoliopsida; Brassicales; Brassicaceae. The record is from RNAcentral.
UGUCGUCUACAAGAUUGCAAUAUCUUAUAUCAAAUACAGUAUAUGACAAAAAAAUUAAAAACUAUAUAUUAAAUGUCGGUUAUUGCAGGUCUAUUUUACAAUUCUUAUGGCUUCCGUGCGGUAUAUGUGUAUAUAUAUAUAUAUAUAUAUAUAUAUAUAUAUAUAUAUGUUGAAAAGUUUUACAGUUCAUUUGUUGAAAAAAAAAAAAAGUGGAGAUGUAUACGUUAUCGUUUUCACUAUAAAAAGAAUGAAAACCCAAUCUUACGUACGUAUAUCUCUGGUAACUGCGCCAAAC